RNAcentral lists this non-coding RNA (31 nucleotides) under Rattus norvegicus (Norway rat). Lineage: Eukaryota; Metazoa; Chordata; Mammalia; Rodentia; Muridae. The record is from RNAcentral.
UGUGGUGACAGACAUUGGCUUUGGUCACAGC